CGAGGAUAAGUUUUGUCCAAAGAAUAUAUAAAUCGAGAUCCCCUCAGACCUCUUUUCAUAGCCGAGAUAGCCAUAUUUUCAUUGAGAUCUUUGACCUCAAGCAUGGCAGCAUUAAAGUGAGCCAUGAAAUCCCGAAGUAUUUCAGUCUCUCCUUGUUUAAUCGAGAAGAGACUAUCAAAAGUACAUGGCAGCCUUCGACUGGUGCUAAAGUGAGCCACGAAAAAAUAUUCUAACUGCCCGAAAGAAUAUAUGCUUCC
Molecule: long non-coding RNA, 257 nt
Filed under: Elaeis guineensis (African oil palm)
Lineage: Eukaryota; Viridiplantae; Streptophyta; Magnoliopsida; Arecales; Arecaceae
Description: long non-coding RNA (EGUI_LNC050679)
Source: RNAcentral